RNAcentral lists this ribosomal RNA (422 nucleotides) under uncultured bacterium. RNAcentral's name for it is "bacterial SSU rRNA". It matches the Rfam family "Bacterial small subunit ribosomal RNA", at positions 355 to 774 of the family's 1533-position model. The record is from RNAcentral.
UAAGGAAUAUUGGACAAUGGACGCAAGUCUGAUCCAGCCAUGCCGCGUGAAGGAUGAAUGCCCUCUGGGUUGUAAACUUCUUUUAUAGGGGAAGAAAGAUACUUUUUUUAAGGUAGUUGACGGUACCCUAUGAAUAAGCACCGGCUAACUCCGUGCCAGCAGCCGCGGUAAUACGGAGGGUGCAAGCGUUACCCGGAUUUACUGGGUGUAAAGGGCGUGUAGGCGGUUUCUCAAGUCCGAUGCUAAAGACCGAAGCUCAACUUCGGGAGUGCGUUGGAUACUGUGAGGCUAGACGGUCGGAGAGGGUAGCGGAAUUUCCUGAGUAGCGGUGAAAUGCGCAGAUACAGGAAGGAACGCCAAUAGCGAAAGCAGCUACCUGAACGAUUUGUGACGCUGAGGCGCGAAAGCGUGGGGAGCAAACC